AUUGCAUAAUGCAGUAGCAACUGGAUUUGCAGCAGAAACACCCUGCUAAAGAACAAGUAUCUUGGUUCACAGCAAAGAGGACAAAGGAAAACAGCAAGUUCUAGGGAGUUGAAUGCUGGAUUAAAUCGCCUAUGGGGUAGACAUAGAAAACUCAUUAUUUAAUGUUUUAGCAUUUGGUGGACAUCUUAAUAAAGCUAAAGCACCCUAAAAAUAGCUUGGAAAGAAAGGAAUUAUUAAUGGCUUGUAGUAGAUACCUAGCUAGCUCACAAAAAUAAAGAAGACACUGUGAAAUAAAAAAGCAUGUAGCUAGUUUUUUUAUUUUCAUUUUUUGAAAUAGUAAUGGAUAAAAGUCAAGAUUGAUGUCCUAAUCUUAAUUUUAGUAAGACUGUAAAGAACUCUUACAUAAAUUUCAAAUCAUCUAUCUAUUUAAAGAUAUUUUAUAUGUUCAGAGUAUAAAUAAUCUGUAUCUAUUAGUGAGUAUGUUGCUUCUGAUAUUUAUUCUGGGUAUACAUUAAAUCAUAAAUGUUUCUUAAUUUUACAAUGCAAAUAUUUAUCAUUACUAAACAACCUAAUAUUAAUUUGUUUGUUAAUUUAAAAUGAAAUUUCCAAAAAAAUCCUAAUGAUACCUUUUUUAGAAUGGCCUAAUCUUUUCAUUGGAGCCUAUCACCUGUUUAUCAUGUCAAUUGGUCUAGCUAUUUUUUAAUACACUGAAUUUCAGAAUUGAGAUAUAAAUAGUUUGGAAUCUGAAAAGGCAUUUAAACUAAAAAACUUUCUCACCAGAAUCUAAGGUAAAAACAUGAUACAGCUUUUUAUUUUAUCUAAGGUAACAAGCUAGAACAUUUUGAUAGAACUAUGGCCCUUCCACCCCCUCUAUCCAUAUGCUUCAAAAUCAUUCCAAAAUAUCAGCAGACAUUUAACAUGCUACAAAACUUCACUGACUAAAUUCCAUGUUAAAAACCAAGAGAAAGACCCAAAUAAUAUGUUAAGUCUUUUGAAACUUUUAAGUUACUGUUGAAAAUGGAGAGCAAGGUAGAAGUCAUGGCCAUGUUUUUGAUAAGCACUUAAAUGCAGUUGAACUCCACAUCAUAUUCCAGCAUGAGCCAUUUGUAGGAGACUCAAAAUCUUGAAAUAGCUUUAAAAAAACAGAAUGUAGUAUACAGUAUUUGUAUAGAAUCUGUAUAAAGAUAAAAACUAGUUCUUGCAUUGUAGGCUAUGUCUACCAAACUAGCUAAUGUGAUAUUUCUUUUAUACUGGGAAAUAAUUUUUUGUGUGUUUGUGUGAAUUUAACAAAUUUUUAUUGACUUUAUUGACACAAACUCUUGACUACACAUAAUGAAAUCU
Molecule: long non-coding RNA, 1341 nt
Filed under: Sus scrofa (pig)
Lineage: Eukaryota; Metazoa; Chordata; Mammalia; Artiodactyla; Suidae
Description: lncRNA (ENSSSCG00055005214.1)
Source: RNAcentral